AAAAAGGUCUGAAAAUCCGAGCACAGCAGAGAACAGCUCUCUCGGUUGAACAAAAACGUAAAUGAAUGAAUGUAUCUUGUAAUGUGGGGUCGUUAUACAUAUUUAUGGCUGCGGGUCAAUGACCACAAUCUAUCAUA
This is a non-coding RNA of Caenorhabditis elegans, 137 nucleotides long. Lineage: Eukaryota; Metazoa; Nematoda; Chromadorea; Rhabditida; Rhabditidae. The record is from Ensembl.